This 1178-nucleotide ribosomal RNA is filed under the name uncultured candidate division WS6 bacterium. RNAcentral describes it as "partial 16S ribosomal RNA". The record is from RNAcentral.
CACUUAAAAGCUUGGCAACGGGUAGAGGCACUAAAUUCCGGGCGAAAGUCAUAGGAAGGGGUUUUAAGGGUAAAACAAAAAAGGAAAUGGUGACGGCAAGAAAAAAGGAAACCCUAAGGAGGUUCAUGAAGGGAAAGAAAAGGACGAAACGGGUUCCCGGAUUUGGUCGCCGGGGGGGUUCCCCCCCCAAGAGGGGAUACCCCGCGGGAAGGGGAGGGGCAUUUGCUGGAAAUCCCAAUUUAAUGCAGGAAAAUUUCAGCCGAAAAACGGAGCGGAGUUUGGUUUUUGGGGAUUGGUUCCCCCUUGCGAUUGGGAAACCCUUUAACCCGCCCAUGGUGCUGCUGGGGUCGCCUGGAACUAAAGGGCUAUAAGUCUUAGACGUGUCCCCAACCUUCUUCUUCGUUUGGAAGGGAAAAAAUUUCAAAAAUUUAACCAGGGAUUGGAGGUGCGCCCCUUGGCGGAAUUAAUUCUUAUUUUCCAGGACAAAUUCUGGGGACACCUGGGAAACCCGUUUUAGAACCUUGAAGGGCUCUCGGGUUUUGAAAAAAAGGCAAUUUAUUAAAAGCUUGAAUGGGGUUAAAGCUAAGGGAGAAUUAAGGAGGGGUUCAUUGUUGGCGGGGGCCCCGCCCGUAAAUUGGGGGUAGCUUUGGGGUUACCCCCCAGGGGUUAAGCUUAAAUUCCCGGAUUAUUACCAAAAAUUGUUGAAUUCUUUAAAAAAAAAAAAAAAAAACGCCCCCCUCAAAUAAGUUGGAGAAAAUUUAAGGGCGGGAAAAACCGGGGGGUAAAAAAGCAUUUUAGCCCCCCCCCCUUUCCCGCCCUUAAAAUUAUCCCAGCCAAUGGAAAGGCUGUGUUCUUUUUUUUUUUUUUUAAAAAAUUUAAAGGUUUUUUUGGGUAAACCAAAAAUUUUUGCUUUCCCUUCGGGGGACAAUCCGGGGGGGUUUUAUAUCGAAUGGGGGGAAGGGGCCCCCCAAAAAACAAGAAAACUUCGGUUUGUUUCUGUUUCUUUUAUAACCCCCAAAAAAAGGGGGAAAAUGAGGGGGCCCCCCCUUCCCCCAAAAACCAAGGGGCGCCUCGGAGGGGGGGAAAAAACCAUAUAUCCCAUAGGGGUCCCCCCAAAAAACCUUGGGCCCCCUAUAUUCGAGGGGGGGGUUUACUACACCCCCGAGGGGGGCCCUGCA